UGUUUGAGAGUUGAUCCUGGCUGUUAGCUGGGAGCCCCAGGGCUUCUCCAUAUGAUUUCUCCAUAUGGGCUAGUUUGGGCUGCCUCACAGCAUGG
Molecule: microRNA precursor, 95 nt
Filed under: Chlorocebus sabaeus (green monkey)
Lineage: Eukaryota; Metazoa; Chordata; Mammalia; Primates; Cercopithecidae
Description: miRNA (ENSCSAG00000025515.1)
Source: RNAcentral